AUUGCACUUUUGGUCCCCCAACUAUGGCCUUCCUGCGAAAAUCGUCCCUAAACUUCAAAAUUAGCAAAACUCGUCCCUCAACUAUACACACAGUUGCACUUUUGGUCUUCCGUUAGCAUUCCGUCAGAAAUCUAACAGAUUGGGACUAGUGACGGAGAUAAUCCGUCACAAUUCACAAUCCAGUCACCAAAUUUCUUCAUCUUCCUCAAUAUAACCACCACUCAUCCUCCCCCUCCUCAUUCCUCACUUUCUCCAUCUUCAUCAACCUCAAUCCCUCAUCCUCCCCUCCCUUCUCCUUUCAUUCCUCUUCACCACUACCUCCCUCAACCAUCAACACAAACUCUCCAUACUGAAAUUGAAUUGGAGCGGAUUGCUGGAGAGAAAGGGGUUUUGGGUUUUUCUUCAACACUCUUUGCAGAUCCCAUUUUCUCAUCUCCUCAUGAAAUUAGAAAUCCAUUUCACAACCCAAAAGAAGGAGUUGCAGACCUCUCCCUCCAUAUCUUCAUCUCAUCUUUCUCACUCGCACCUCUCCCUCCACCGAACCCACACCAGCAAACCACAACCCAGAACCACCUCUCCCUCCACCAACCCCACCCCUCCCCAGAAACCCAACCGGAACCCACCCCAAACCCCACCCAGAAACUGAGCCCACAAACCCCUUCUUCCCUCUCACAAUAGAUCUACCAUAACUGAGAAAGGAAAACCAGAGAAGAAAAUCCAAGACUUUUUUUUUUCAGAUCUCAAACCAUUGUUACAGAUACAGCUUCAACCUAUCAUAUGGUGUCUGGAGAGGGGGAGCUCGAAGCUUGUAACCCAGAAACCCGACCAAAAACCCAGAAACUUUGAAGCUUUGAACGAGAACCAUGAUCUACAGAAGAGGAGGAGGAAGAGGAAACGGAUUUAAUUUUCUGACGGAAUGCUAACGGAAGACCAAAAGUGCAACUGUGUGUAUAGUUGAGGGACGAGUUUUGCUAAUUUUGAAGUUUAGGGACGAUUUUCGCAGGAAGGCCAUAGUUGGGGGACCAAAAGUGCAAUUAAGCCAAAGAAAAAAAAUAAGAGACGUGAUGGUUUGAAAUGAGAUGAAAGAGAGUCGGCGUGAAUGUAUCAAAACUCGUGGCUAUGACAUUUGGUGGUUGCUUUGUAACUUAGUAGUCAUGAGGUUUAAAUUGUUUUUGGUCAUACUAUAGGUUGUAGGUCAUACAUCUUAUUAUUAUGUAAAUUUCUUGUUGAUUUCAUUACACUAAACUGCCAUGGCAUGUUGUUUAUUGA
Molecule: long non-coding RNA, 1269 nt
Organism: Lotus japonicus
Lineage: Eukaryota; Viridiplantae; Streptophyta; Magnoliopsida; Fabales; Fabaceae
Exons: 2
Source: RefSeq, a predicted model, not a curated record